AUGGCUCAGGAUGAACGCAGCGACAGGCUAACACAUGCAAGUCGAGGGGCAGCACGGGAGUAGCAAUACAACUGGUGGCGACCGGCGCACGGGUGAGUAACGCGUAUGCAACCUACCUAUCAGAGGGGAAUAACCCGGCGAAAGUCGGACUAAUACCGCAUAAAACAGGGGCACCGCAUGGUGAUAUUUGUUAAAGAGAUUCGCUGAUAGAUGGGCAUGCGUUCCAUUAGGUAGUUGGUGAGGUAACGGCUCACCAAGCCGACGAUGGAUAGGGGAACUGAGAGGUUGGUCCCCCACACUGGUACUGAGACACGGACCAGACUCCUACGGGAGGCAGCAGUGAGGAAUAUUGGUCAAUGGGCGGGAGCCUGAACCAGCCAAGUCGCCGUGAAGGAAGAAGGAUCUAUGGUUCGUAAACUUCUUUUGCAGGGGAAUAAAGUGCAGGACGUGUCCUGUUUUGUAUGUACCCUGAGAAUAAGGAUCGGCUAACUCCGUGCCAGCCGCGGC
This 507-nucleotide ribosomal RNA is filed under the name uncultured bacterium. RNAcentral's name for it is "bacterial SSU rRNA". It matches the Rfam family "Bacterial small subunit ribosomal RNA", at positions 19 to 518 of the family's 1533-position model. The record is from RNAcentral.